RNAcentral lists this ribosomal RNA (419 nucleotides) under uncultured Fusobacterium sp. RNAcentral describes it as "bacterial SSU rRNA". It matches the Rfam family "Bacterial small subunit ribosomal RNA", at positions 357 to 790 of the family's 1533-position model. The record is from RNAcentral. Lineage: Bacteria; Fusobacteriati; Fusobacteriota; Fusobacteriia; Fusobacteriales; Fusobacteriaceae.
GGGAAUAUUGGACAAUGGACCAAGAGUCUGAUCCAGCAAUUCUGUGUGCACGAUGAAGUUUUUCGGAAUGUAAAGUGCUUUCAGUUGGGAAGAAAAAAAUGACGGUACCAACAGAAGAAGCGACGGCUAAAUACGUGCCAGCAGCCGCGGUAAUACGUAUGUCGCAAGCGUUAUCCGGAUUUAUUGGGCGUAAAGCGCGUCUAGGCGGCUAAGUAAGUCUGAUGUGAAAAUGCGGGGCUCAACUCCGUAUUGCGUUGGAAACUGCAUAGCUAGAGUACUGGAGAGGUAAGCGGAACUACAAGUGUAGAGGUGAAAUUCGUAGAUAUUUGUAGGAAUGCCGAUGGGGAAGCCAGCUUACUGGACAGAUACUGACGCUAAAGCGCGAAAGCGUGGGUAGCAAACAGGAUUAGAUACCCCGG